AUACAUGCAAGUCGAACGCAAUCUUUUAACAAUGAGUGCUUGCACUCAGCGUUUUAAGUGCGAGUGGCGAACGGGUGAGUAACACGUGGGCAAUCUGCCCAAAAGUGGGGGAUAACACUUGGAAACAGGUGCUAAUACCGCAUCAACCGGCUGACCGCAUGGUCGGCCGGGCAAAGACGGCGUCAGCUGUCGCUUUUGGAUGAGCCCGCGGCGUAUUAACUAGUUGGUAAGGUAACGGCUUACCAAGGUGAUGAUACGUAGCCGAACUGAGAGGUUGAUCGGCCACAUUGGGACUGAGACACGGCCCAAACUCCUACGGGAGGCAGCAGUAGGGAAUCUUCCACAAUGGACGCAAGUCUGAUGGAGCAACGCCGCGUGUAUGAAGAAGGUCUUCGGAUCGUAAAAUACUGUUGUCAGAGAAGAACACGUGAUAGAGUAACUGCUAUGGCGCUGACGGUAUCUGACCAGCAAGUCACGGCUAACUACGUGCCAGCAGCCGCGGUAAUACGUAGGUGGCAAGCGUUGUCCGGAUUUAUUGGGCGUAAAGGGAACGCAGGCGGUCUUUUAAGUCUGAUGUGAAAGCCUUCGGCUUAACCGGAGAAGUGCAUUGGAAACUGGAAGACUUGAGUGCAGAAGAGGAGAGUGGAACUCCAUGUGUAGCGGUGAAAUGCGUAGAUAUAUGGAAGAACACCAGUGGCGAAAGCGGCUCUCUGGUCUGUAACUGACGCUGAGGUUCGAAAGCGUGGGGAGCGAACAGGAUUA
This 762-nucleotide ribosomal RNA is filed under the name Ligilactobacillus acidipiscis. RNAcentral's name for it is "bacterial SSU rRNA". It matches the Rfam family "Bacterial small subunit ribosomal RNA", at positions 51 to 780 of the family's 1533-position model. Lineage: Bacteria; Bacillati; Bacillota; Bacilli; Lactobacillales; Lactobacillaceae. The record is from RNAcentral.